AUCUUUUCAGAGAGAGAAGGAAGAAGGAAGAUUAUCGUGAUGGCCUCAUUUCGGUACCCAAGGGGUGAAGGAAAGGGUGAAAGAGAGAAAUGUACAAUGGUAAGGACGUGCCCCCCUACUGAUUCAUUAUCACAUGGCUUUCUCAAACACUCAGCUGAAAAAGGUCAAGUUGGCCCUGGCAGAGGAGCAGUUCAGUGGCAGAGGCACAAAAUGACUGCGGAGCAAUCCAUUCAAUGCCACUACAAGAAUUAAAAUGGCUUUAUAAAGGCCCAAAUGGGCAAGUCAACCUGAAGCAUUUAUUGCCCAUUACUAGGGUCUCCUGGCGGAAAGAAUAUAUUGUGAAAAGAAGAAGGAAAAACCCCCUCCACAGUCUGUAAAAUGGAGCUGCGCCAAAAAUUUGGUUGCAUGAAUGUGCAAAAUGUUAUUAAUUCCAAAAUAUCAGGGGGGUUAAAACCGUACAAGCUACAACCUAGCAUAAAGGUUCUUAUAAUGGACUUGUGGAGGCACAUUUAUCCACAUUCUGAUUUUAGUGGUUUCAGAGUUCUUUGAAACUAGAAAUAAUCUCAUUUCCGAAUGUCUAGUCACUUAUUAAAGAUCCAACUUGGAAAAAUGAGAGUGAAUUCAAAUGCAGGACGAAAAUAAAAAGAACAUGAAAACCUC
Molecule: long non-coding RNA, 660 nt
Organism: Xenopus tropicalis (tropical clawed frog)
Lineage: Eukaryota; Metazoa; Chordata; Amphibia; Anura; Pipidae
Exons: 3
Source: RefSeq, a predicted model, not a curated record